CAGCGGCGGACGGGUGAGUAAUACCUAGGAAUCUGCCUGGUAGUGGGGGACAACGUUUCGAAAGGAACGCUAAUACCGCAUACGUCCUACGGGAGAAAGCAGGGGACCUUCGGGCCUUGCGCUAUCAGAUGAGCCUAGGUCGGAUUAGCUAGUUGGUGAGGUAAUGGCUCACCAAGGCGACGAUCCGUAACUGGUCUGAGAGGAUGAUCAGUCACACUGGAACUGAGACACGGUCCAGACUCCUACGGGAGGCAGCAGUGGGGAAUAUUGGACAAUGGGCGAAAGCCUGAUCCAGCCAUGCCGCGUGUGUGAAGAAGGUCUUCGGAUUGUAAAGCACUUUAAGUUGGGAGGAAGGGUACUUACCUAAUACGUGAGUAUUUUGACGUUACCGACAGAAUAAGCACCGGCUAACUCUGUGCCAGCAGCCGCGGUAAUACAGAGGGUGCAAGCGUUAAUCGGAAUUACUGGGCGUAAAGCGCGCGUAGGUGGUUUGUUAAGUUGAAUGUGAAAUCCCCGGGCUCAACCUGGGAACUGCAUCCAAAACUGGCAAGCUAGAGUAGGGCAGAGGGUGGUGGAAUUUCCUGUGUAGCGGUGAAAUGCGUAGAUAUAGGAAGGAACACCAGUGGCGAAGGCGACCACCUGGGCUCAUACUGACACUGA
This 660-nucleotide ribosomal RNA is filed under the name Pseudomonas sp. AR-350. RNAcentral describes it as "bacterial SSU rRNA". It matches the Rfam family "Bacterial small subunit ribosomal RNA", at positions 93 to 749 of the family's 1533-position model. Lineage: Bacteria; Pseudomonadati; Pseudomonadota; Gammaproteobacteria; Pseudomonadales; Pseudomonadaceae. The record is from RNAcentral.